Molecule: ribosomal RNA, 179 nt
Filed under: uncultured bacterium
Lineage: Bacteria
Description: partial 16S ribosomal RNA
Rfam family: Bacterial small subunit ribosomal RNA
Source: RNAcentral
UGAAGCUGGAAUUGCUAGUAAUGGCAGGUCAGCAUACUGCCGUGAAUACGUUCCCGGGCCUUGUACACACCGCCCGUCACACCAUGAGAGUUGGAGAUACCCGAAGCCUGUGAGCUAACUUUUAGAGGCAGCAGUCGAAGGUAGAGCCAAUGAUUGGGGUGAAGUCGUAACAAGGUAAC